This 504-nucleotide ribosomal RNA is filed under the name uncultured bacterium. RNAcentral describes it as "bacterial SSU rRNA". It matches the Rfam family "Bacterial small subunit ribosomal RNA", at positions 28 to 529 of the family's 1533-position model. The record is from RNAcentral.
GACGAACGCUGGCGGCGUGCUUAACACAUGCAAGUCGAACGGAGAUUAUUAAUGAAGCUUGCGAUUUAAUAAUCUUAGUGGCGGACGGGUGAGUAACGCGUGGGCAACCUACCCAUAAGCGGGGGAUAACAGUUGGAAACGACUGCUAAUACCGCAUAAGCUAUUGAGGUCGCAUGACCUAAAUAGUAAAGGUGGCGAAAGCUAUCACUUAUGGAUGGGCCCGCGUCUGAUUAGCUAGUUGGUGGGAUAGCAGCCUACCAAGGCAACGAUCAGUAGCCGGCCUGAGAGGGUGGACGGCCACACUGGGACUGAGACACGGCCCAGACUCCUACGGGAGGCAGCAGUGGGGAAUAUUGGGCAAUGGGGGAGACCCUGACCCAGCGACGCCGCGUGAGGGAAGACGGCCUUCGGGUUGUAAACCUCUUUGUACGGGAAGAUAAUGACGGUACUGUACGAAUAAGUCCCGGCUAACUACGUGCCAGCAGCCGCGGUAAUCUCGUCCUA